Molecule: ribosomal RNA, 594 nt
Filed under: Cephalobidae environmental sample
Lineage: Eukaryota; Metazoa; Nematoda; Chromadorea; Rhabditida; Cephalobidae
Description: SSU rRNA
Rfam family: Eukaryotic small subunit ribosomal RNA
Source: RNAcentral
UUCUGACCGUAAACGAUGCCAACUAGCGAUCCGCCGGUGGAUUUUUAGCCCUGGUGGGUAGCUUCCCGGAAACGAAAGUCUUCCGGUUCCGGGGGAAGUAUGGUUGCAAAGCUGAAACUUAAAGGAAUUGACGGAAGGGCACCACCAGGAGUGGAGCCUGCGGCUUAAUUUGACUCAACACGGGGAAACUCACCCGGCCCGGACACCGUAAGGAUUGACAGAUUGAUAGCUCUUUCAUGAUUCGGUGGUUGGUGGUGCAUGGCCGUUCUUAGUUCGUGGAUCGAUUUGUCUGGUUUAUUCCGAUAACGAGCGAGACUCUAGCCUACUAAAUAGUAACGGGAUUAUCAAUGUCCCAGUUGCUUCUUAGAGGGAUUUUCGGUGUUUAGCCGCACGAGAUUGAGCAAUAACAGGUCUGUGAUGCCCUUAGAUGUCCGGGGCUGCACGCGCGCUACACUGGCGAAAUCAGCGUGCUGUAUCCAUUCUCGAAAGGGAUUGGUAAACCCAUGAAAAUUUGCCGUGCUUGGGCAUCGGAAAUUGCAAUUAUUUUCCGUGAACGAGGAAUUCCAAGUAAGUGCGAGUCAUCAACUCGCUCUG